CCUACGGGAGGCAGCAGUGGGGAAUAUUGGGCAAUGGGCGCAAGCCUGACCCAGCAAUGCCGCGUGUAGGAAGAAGGCUUUCGGGUUGUAAACUUCUUUUCUCAGGGACGAAGCAAGUGACGGUACUUGAGUAAUAAGUCACGGUUACCUACGUGCCAGCAGCCGCGGUAAUACGUAGGUGGCAAGCGUUAUCCGGAUUUACUGGGUGGAAAGGGCGUGUAGGCGGGAAAGCAAGUCAGAUGUGAAAACCAUGGGCUCAACCUGUGGCCUGCAUUUGAAACUGUUUUUCUUGAGUACUGGAGAGGCGGGCAGAAUUCCUGGUGUAGCGGUGAAAUGCGUAGAGAUUAGGAGGAACACCAGUGGCGAAGGCGGUCUGCUGGACAGCGACUGACGCUGAGGCGCGAAAGCGUGGGGAGCAAACAGGAUUAGAUACCCGGGUAGUC
This 443-nucleotide ribosomal RNA is filed under the name uncultured bacterium. RNAcentral's name for it is "partial 16S ribosomal RNA". It matches the Rfam family "Bacterial small subunit ribosomal RNA", at positions 338 to 795 of the family's 1533-position model. The record is from RNAcentral.